UACAGAGGUCUCAAGCGUUGUUCGGAUUCAUUGGGCGUAAAGGGUGCGUAGGCGGCGCGGUAAGUCGGGUGUGAAAUCUUGGAGCUUAACUCCGAAACUGCAUUCGAUACUGCCGUGCUUGAGGACUGGAGAGGAGACUGGAAUUUACGGUGUAGCGGUGAAAUGCGUAGAUAUCGUAAGGAAGACCAGUGGCGAAGGCGGGUCUCUGGACGGUUCCUGACGCUGAAGCACGAAGGCCAGGGGAGCAAACGGG
This 253-nucleotide ribosomal RNA is filed under the name uncultured bacterium. RNAcentral's name for it is "partial 16S ribosomal RNA". It matches the Rfam family "Bacterial small subunit ribosomal RNA", at positions 524 to 776 of the family's 1533-position model. The record is from RNAcentral.